CGUCGUCCUCUCCUCUCUCUUUCGUUCUCUCUCUUGCGUGACGAGCCUCCGCAAAAUCCUCUUCGGACAAGAUGGAUCUCUUCCUUCGUCUCUGUUUCUGAUCGAUUGCUUCGUGGUUCGAUCGGGUCCGAUUGCUUGCUUGGUCUGAUUUACGAAGCAUCUGUUUGACGUGUUGCGGAGAGUCGUGAGGGUUUUGCGCUUGGUCAUCGGAUUUAUUCGGUUUGAGCUCGUCCUUUUUAUCAUCUAUUAUUCCUCGACUGGUCGCUUGCUUGCGUUGUUGCUUUACGUGGCUUAUUCUGAACCUUUCUGUUAGUCGGUGAGUUGAUGAACUGGUUGUUGUCUCUGAUCACAUCGUUUUUUCUUCAUUUUUUUUUUUUUUUUUGUCUUUGGGAGAUGAUCGUGGUCUUGUUCCAAUUCUUUCACUGGCUGCGAUUUUUCCGGGCUCGAGAAGUGGUGUAUCUGUUGCUCUGUGAUUUCAAUAUUUGGAUGGUGAUUUUAAUUCGUAUUUAUAACCUAUUUUACCCAUCAAGCAUAGCUGUUGAAUCUAUUUAUAAAUAAGAUCAACAUUCGCAACAUGAUCCUUUUGUUGUAGAUGAUUUGUUUGCCAGAUAAUUUAACUUUUGGUUCUGAAUCAUCUUUUUCUCAUUGGCUAUAAAAGGGUGGUUUAUGUUCUUUUUUCUUAUUGGAAUUGUCAAACAAUUUCGUUUGACUUGUUAUAUUGCCCUAAAAGGCACGGAUUUUGUAGUAUCCAGGCAGUCUAUUGCGAGAACAGAAUUGGUUCAGCUCCGAUUGAAUUUGUAUGAAUGUCUUGAGGUUCAUCAACAUUAUCAUUGGCAUUGCUUUCUCUCUGACCAGCUGCUGUCUAUUUCUUAGCCAUAAAAAAACCGUGUUGCUUCAUUUACGUUAGUUAGAACUAUAAUUAGGAAGUAGAGUAUAAUAUAAUAAUGUAUCAUAUAUGAUUUACAAAAAUAAUAUUUUAGAGGUAUAUGAUUUGUAUUUCGAACUCAAAAAUUCAAAAUACCCUCUUUUGAUCACGAAAAAAACAAAAAGAUGACUGUUAUAAACGUCUCCUUCCUAUUAUAACCCAACCGUCGUCCUUCCUCUGCUCCUCAUGGGAACUAUAAUCACACCGAGCUGGUCAGUCUCUCUCUCAUUUGUUCUCUCUCGCGUGAUGGGCCUCUGCAAAAUCCUCUGCGGAGAAGAUGGGUCUCUUCUCUCGUCUCUGUUUCUGAUCAAUUGUUUUAAUGGUCUGAAGCUUGGCCUCUCUGGGACGAUGCCAGUAGUCAUCAGAAUUUUUUGGUUCAAAUCUCAUCCUUCGAUCAUCCAUCGAUUCCUCAACUGCUCAAUGUGUUGUCGUUUUACAUGGCUUAUUCUGAACCUUUUUGUUGUUCAGUGGAUUGGCAGUAUCCUUGAGGAUGAUGAAUGGUGACAAUCGUUGCCGUCCUUUUCUCUUUUUCUUUUUUGGUUGAGAUGAUGAACUGGUAGUAGUCUCUGAUCACAUCUUUUUAUCUUCAUUUUUUUUUUUUAAUCUUUGGGAGAUGAUCAUGGUCUAGUUCCAAUUCUUUUCAGUAGUAUUUUGCUGGGUUCAAGAAGUGGUGAUCUGUUGCAUUGUCUCUGUGAUGCCGGGCAGAAAGUUUCUAACUUUUCCUUCUGAUUUCUUAUGAUAUUUCAGUAUUUGGAUGGUGAUACUAAUUCGUAUGUAUGACCUAUUUUACACAUCAAGCACAGCUGUUGAAUCUAUUUAUAAAUAAGAUCAACAUUUGCAACAUGAUCCUUUUGUUGUUGAUGAUUUGCUUGCCAGAUAAUUUAACUUAUGGUUCUGAAUGCAUCCUUUUCUCAUUGGCUAUACCUUGGUUUGUGUUCAUUUUUCUUCUGCUUGGAAUUGUCAAACAGUUUCGUUUGAUUUGUUAUAUUGCCCUCAAAGGCACGGAUUUUGUAGUAUCUGGGUGCGAGAACAGAAUUGGUUCAGGUCCUGAUUGAAUUUGUAUGAAUGUCUUGAGGUUCAUCAACAUUAUCUGGUUCAAGUUUCCCUCUGAUCAUUUUAAUUAAUAAAAUUGCCUGGGUGAAACGCAUGGACCUAUUCAGCAGUUGUCUGACUAUGUACCUUAUCUCUAUCAGAUGAUUCAACCUUACACUUGCGAUGUGGGGUAUUGAUUGCAAUGAUUCACCAAUAUUAUGGCAGCUCAGAUUAUCCAUGUCUCCAUUCAAUUUGUUUGGUUCACACUGUAAUUACUUCAGGGAGUUCUCUCUUCUGGAUGCUCUUAUUUUAAUCUUCUCCUGGUCUAAUUUGCCUCACAAAUGAUUUUCAUAUCCUGUUUAUUGACAUUGUGAAUUACUUGGCCACAAGUUUCCUCAAUCCCUGCACAUGGAUUCUCCAAUUACACUCCAAAACUUGUCAAGGAGUACCAAUUUCUCCUCAGGAAGAUGUCUUACUUUGAAAGUCGAUGUGGAUCUCUCGGUCAAUGAAUGACUAACCCUGUUCAAUAAAUUUCCAGAAACAUGAACUAACUUAUGUGAUUCUUCACUGAGAACACAGAACUGGCGGCUGGACAUAUUACACUCCUACUAGAAGGGAUUCCCUGAGUCGUUCCUGUCCUAAGCACCCACAAUGGUCACCCCCUUUCCUGUGCUUCAAAUUUUUGGUGUUUCUUUUGAACUUCUUUUUCCAAUUUCUACUCCGGGAGUUGGUGUCACAUAUGCAGAAUUUUUCAAGGGAGUGAUCCUGGUGGAAUUAUGUUUCGAUUGGCUGCACUUGGAAGUAUUUUUGAUAUUUUUCUUUAAAUUAGUUGACAGCAUGGUUAUCGGAAAUGCCAUUAGAUCUAGAAGUAAGUAUGCUUAUGUCCAGUUUCUGGUACUAUUGACAACCUGUAGUAAUGCUGAGCACUUCUGAGUUUUUGGUAUAGUAACCUAGCUCUUGUUUUAAAAUGAAUGUUCUGGAAGCAAGUACUUAUGUCCUGUUUCUGGUACUAUGGACAACCUGUAGUAAUGCCGAGCACUACCAUGUUUUCACUAUGGUAACCUAAUUCUUAUCUAAAAAUGAAUGUUCUGGAUUCAGUUUACUACCUAUUUACCUCGAGUCAUCUGGCCAUAUGGUGAAGCUAUCUCUAAUUCUGCUUUGUAAGUAUUUGUCCUAUUACUCAUUUUCCUUCUCAUUGAUGCCAUUUGAUCCGGUUCUAUCUUUUUGUUUUUGUUUUUUUCCUUUUUUUGGUUGAGUUGAUGAACUGGUAGUAGUCUCUGAUCACAUCGUUUUUUCUUCAUUUUUUUUUUUUUUUAAAGUCUUUGGGAGAUGAUCGUGGUCUAGUUCCCAUUCUUUCACUGGCUGUGAUUUUUCCGGGCUCGAGAAGUGGUGUAUCUGUUGUGUUAUCUCUGUGAUCAUGGUCUAGUACACCAACUUUGAUUUCUACAGAGCACCGGUCGCGAAUUGGAGGGUUUCGCUGUGCUGCGCUAUGGUUCCUCACCCGCCGAAUCCAGAAGAGCUUCCUAAAGGUUGCUGGUAACCUGGUCGCAAAAAAGCUGAUGCUCCAUUUCACAACAUUCACGAACGUAAGAUGCAUGAUUCAAUUAUCUGCGUGCUCUGAUGAGACUGGGGAUUACCAUCUUCGGAUUGCUAUCGGAAGCUCUGGGACGGAAUCCCAAGCAUCUCAAAGACAUGGGCUGCGCCAAAGGACUGUACUUCAUCGGACACUACUAUCCGAUAUGUCCUGAGCCGGACUUGACUCAAGGUCUGAGCAAGCACACUGAUAGCGCCUUCCCCACAGUGGUGUUGCAAGACCAGACCGGCGGCCUUCAAGUCCUCCAUGAAAAUCGCUGGGUAGGCUCACUUAUUAGUAUCGUUCUUGAAAGUGUAGAAAACUAUCUGCAUCCGUGGAUUUGACAUUCUGAGGGAGAGAAGAUAGAUUAGCUAAUAGAUUGGGCUAUCUUUUGUGCAGCUAUUUGCCAGUGGUAAGUUCAAAAACGUCUAUCACAGAGUACUGGCAAAGAUUAUCGGACCGAGGAUCUCGGUGGCCUGCUUCUUUAAAACGCAUUUUGGGCAAGAUGAUUCUCCCAGAAAGUAUGGGCCAAUCAAGGAGUUGUUAUCCGAAGAAAACCCUCCAGUCUAUCGAGAAAUGACUACAAAAGACUAUGGGGGUGUUUGGUUGGGCAUUCCCAAAGCCCCUUGGACCCCCAAAGUCCCUUGGGGGAAAAUUUUAGUAUUUGGCAAAUUAUUUGGAAGCUCCUUUGCCCAAGUAUGAGCAUUCGGAAUGCUCAAUGCCAAUGCUGGGGAGGGGUAGCAUUGGGCAUUCGGCAUUUGGGAAAUGCAACGCCUACCGUUCAUCA
Eucalyptus grandis is the source of this 4317-nucleotide RNA transcript. It is a transcript of the gene named deacetoxyvindoline 4-hydroxylase-like, with no coding region annotated. Lineage: Eukaryota; Viridiplantae; Streptophyta; Magnoliopsida; Myrtales; Myrtaceae. The transcript has 2 exons. The record is from RefSeq and is a predicted model, not a curated record.